GUGCGUAGCUUAGUCUGGUGGAGCGUCAGGCUCAUAACCUGAUGGUCGCCGGUUCAAAUCCGGUCGCGCC
Molecule: transfer RNA, 70 nt
Filed under: uncultured Methanomassiliicoccus sp.
Lineage: Archaea; Methanobacteriati; Thermoplasmatota; Thermoplasmata; Methanomassiliicoccales; Methanomassiliicoccaceae
Rfam family: tRNA
About the family: Transfer RNA (tRNA) molecules are approximately 80 nucleotides in length.
Source: RNAcentral